GAUGAAGAACGUAGUGAAAUGCGAUAAGUAGUGUGAAUUGCAGAAUUCCGUGAAUCAUCGAAUCUUUGAACGCACAUUGCGCCCCCUGGUAUUCCGGGGGGCAUGCCUGUCCGAGCGUCAUUGCUGCCCUCAAGCACGGCUUGUGUGUUGGGCCUCCGUCCUCCUCCCGGGGGACGGGCCCGAAAGGCAGCGGCGGCACCGCGUCCGGUCCUCGAGCGUAUGGGGCUUCGUCACCCGCUCUUGUAGGCCCGGCCGGCGCUUGCCGACACAUCAAUCUUUUUUCCAGGUUGACCUCGGAUCAGGUAGGGAUACCCGCUGAACUUAAGCAUAUCAAUAAGCGGAGGA
This 345-nucleotide unclassified non-coding RNA is filed under the name soil metagenome. RNAcentral's name for it is "partial contains 5.8S ribosomal RNA, internal transcribed spacer 2, and large subunit ribosomal RNA". The stretch from base 1 to 120 matches the Rfam family "5.8S ribosomal RNA", at positions 35 to 154 of the family's 154-position model. The record is from RNAcentral.